RNAcentral lists this transfer RNA (72 nucleotides) under Camelus bactrianus (Bactrian camel). It matches the Rfam family "tRNA". Rfam says of the family: Transfer RNA (tRNA) molecules are approximately 80 nucleotides in length. Their secondary structure includes four short double-helical elements and three loops (D, anti-codon, and T loops). Further hydrogen bonds mediate the characteristic L-shaped molecular structure. tRNAs have two regions of fundamental functional importance: the anti-codon, which is responsible for specific mRNA codon recognition, and the 3' end, to which the tRNAs corresponding amino acid is attached (by aminoacyl-tRNA synthetases). tRNAs cope with the degeneracy of the genetic code in two manners: having more than one tRNA (with a specific anti-codon) for a particular amino acid; and 'wobble' base-pairing, i.e. permitting non-standard base-pairing at the 3rd anti-codon position. Lineage: Eukaryota; Metazoa; Chordata; Mammalia; Artiodactyla; Camelidae. The record is from Rfam by way of RNAcentral. RNAcentral also lists the same sequence under 2 other names.
GUGGGUAUAGCUCAGUGGUAGAGCACAUGCUUAGCAUGCAUUAGGUCCUGGGUUCAAUCCCCAGUACCUCCA